Molecule: ribosomal RNA, 253 nt
Filed under: uncultured bacterium
Lineage: Bacteria
Description: partial 16S ribosomal RNA
Rfam family: Bacterial small subunit ribosomal RNA
Source: RNAcentral
UACGGAGGAUCCGAGCGUUAUCCGGAUUUAUUGGGUUUAAAGGGAGCGUAGGUGGAUUGUUAAGUCAGUUGUGAAAGUUUGCGGCUCAACCGUAAAAUUGCAGUUGAAACUGGCAGUCUUGAGAACAGUAGAGGUGGGCGGAAUUCGUGGUGUAGCGGUGAAAUGCUUAGAUAUCACGAAGAACUCCGAUUGCGAAGGCAGCUCACUGGACUGCAACUGACACUGAGGCUCGAAAGUGUGGGUAUCAAACAGG